GAUGAAGAACGUAGCGAAAUGCGAUACUUGGUGUGAAUUGCAGAAUCCCGUGAACCAUCGAGUCUUUGAACGCAAGUUGCGCCCGAAGCCAUUAGGCCGAGGGCACGCCUGCCUGGGCGUCACACGUCGUUGCCCCCCCAUCUACUCCUUCGGGAUUGCGGGGGGCGGAUGAUGGCCUCCCGUGCGCCUCGUCGCGCGGUUGGCAUAAAUACCAAGUCCUCGGCGACGCACGCCACGACAAUCGGUGGUUGCGAAACCUCGGUUGCCCGUCGUGUGCGGUCGUCGCGCAUCGAGGGCUCGAAAAAAUUGCCGGGCUCCGGCUCGGCUUUCAACGCGACCCCAGGUCAGGCGGGUUUACCCGCUGAAUUUAAGCAUAUCAAUAAGCGGAGGA
This 391-nucleotide unclassified non-coding RNA is filed under the name soil metagenome. Its description in RNAcentral is "partial contains 5.8S ribosomal RNA, internal transcribed spacer 2, and large subunit ribosomal RNA". The stretch from base 1 to 122 matches the Rfam family "5.8S ribosomal RNA", at positions 35 to 154 of the family's 154-position model. The record is from RNAcentral.